Telopea speciosissima is the source of this 716-nucleotide long non-coding RNA. RefSeq lists it as uncharacterized. NCBI's taxonomy places the organism in Eukaryota, Viridiplantae, Streptophyta, Magnoliopsida, Proteales, Proteaceae. The transcript is spliced from 2 exons. The record is from RefSeq and is a predicted model, not a curated record.
CUGCAGGUAAGUUUCAUAUAUGGACUGCCUUUUCUUUCUCUCUAUCAUUUUUAUCAGCUAUGAAUCAUUUAACAACCUGAAAUUACAGGAAUUAAAGAUGGAUCAAAUUGGAGCAUGGGACAGCGGCAGUUAUUCUGUUUGGACCGUGCUCUUUUAAAAAGAAGUCGGAUAUUGGUGCUUGAUGAAGCUACUGCAUGCAUAGAUAAUGCAACAGAUGCAAUACUGCAGAAAACCAUUAGGAUUGAAUUUGCAGAUUGCACUGUUAUUACGGUGGCCCACAGAAUACCAACUGUAAUGGACUGCACAAAGGUGCUCGCCAUGAGUAUGGUAAAGUAGUGGAGUAUGAUGAACCAACAACGUUGAUGAAUAGAGAAGGAUCUUUGUUUGGCCGGCUUGUUAGGGAAUACUGGUCCCAUUUCCACUCAGUUAGUCAACAUUAGCUACUGAAUAACAGUUCAAUGUGGUAGUUUAAGUAGGGAGGCCCUGAGCAUGGAUGGAGCUCAAUGGGCCAUGCAUCCUUCUCUUGCCUGUGUAAUUUAUCAUGCUCUAGAAAGUCACUUAUUGAUUCAGAAAGUUAGUAUCAUGCAUUUGUGAUCUUUAAUCUUUCUUUAGCAAGAUUUGAACUUUAAUCUUGUCAUGAGGGACCUUGAAAAAUGAAGAAAUGAGAAGGGACAGGCUCCAAAUAGCUCAGCAAGGCCACAAAAUUUUCUAAAGAA